UGGGGAAUAUUGCACAAUGGGGGAAACCCUGAUGCAGCGACGCCGCGUGAGCGAAGAAGGCUUUCGAGUCGUAAAGCUCUGUCCUAUGAGAAGAUAAUGACGGUACCAUAGGAGGAAGCCCUGGCUAAAUACGUGCCAGCAGCCGCGGUAAUACGUAUGGGGCGAGCGUUGUCCGGAAUUAUUGGGCGUAAAGGGUACGUAGGCGGUUUUUUAAGUCAGGUGUCAAAGCGUGGAGCUUAACUCCAUUAAGCACUUGAAACUGAAAGACUUGAGUGAAGGAGAGGAAAGUGGAAUUCCUAGUGUAGCGGUGAAAUGCGUAGAUAUUAGGAGGAAUACCGGUGGCGAAGGCGACUUACUGGGCUCAUUCUGACGCUGAGGAACGAAAGCGUGGGUAGCAAACAGG
This 403-nucleotide ribosomal RNA is filed under the name Verrucomicrobiota bacterium. Its description in RNAcentral is "Verrucomicrobia bacterium partial 16S ribosomal RNA". It matches the Rfam family "Bacterial small subunit ribosomal RNA", at positions 355 to 776 of the family's 1533-position model. Lineage: Bacteria; Pseudomonadati; Verrucomicrobiota. The record is from RNAcentral.